Molecule: long non-coding RNA, 3316 nt
Filed under: Homo sapiens (human)
Lineage: Eukaryota; Metazoa; Chordata; Mammalia; Primates; Hominidae
Description: HSALNT0222831
Source: RNAcentral
CCCGAGUACCAGAAGAGGCCAAUGAGCAGGGCCCCCCCUCCUGAGGACCAUAAACAGUGACCCAGGCACAGAGGGAGUGUAGUGAAUUCCUGUACUUUAAUGUUGCCCUGGCAUCCGUUUUGAAUAUAAUCUGGACUUUCUUACAUUAGAAGCAGGGCUCAGUCAACCUUGACACUGUUUCCAGCUCCCUGCUUCCUCCCAGUUCCUCUAUGUGCUCAAUCCAGAUAUCUACCUUAGACAGUCAUCUCCCGGUGACUGCCUCCCUGUGGGACAGCUACAUACAGCCCACUUGACUGGUCCCGCUGACCCCACAGCCCGCAUGGACUGUUGCAGAUAGGCCAGUGACCCUCUCUCAGCCAUAGCGUGACCCUGCUUGCUCUAAACUCACCAAUUAUUUUAUUUUAUUUUAUUUUAUUUUAUUUUAUUUUAUUUAUUUAUUUUUGAGAUGGAGUCUCGCUCUGUCACCCAGGCUGGAGUGCAGUGGCGCAAUCCUGGCUCACUGCAAGCUCCGCCUCCCGGGUUCAAGCCAUUCUCCUGCCUCAGCCUCCUGAGUAGCUGGGACUACAGGUGCGCACCACCACGCCCAGCUAAUUUUUGUAUUUUUAGUAGAGACGGGGUUUCACAAUGUUUUCCAGGAUGGUCUCAAUCUCUUGACCUCGUGAUCCACCCGCCUCGGCCUCCCAAAGUACAGGCGUGAGCCACCGGCACCUGGCCUAAACCCAAUUAUUACUCCCCUCAGGAAACCUGCCUGGGUGACGCCCUGGACCCCAUAAAGGCCUUGGUCCCACAGGUCCCCUCUCUCUCUCACUCUCUACCUGCUACUUGAACACCCUGCUGUCUCCGGGAUUCCUGUUGGCCCUCAUCGGCGCUGGCUUCUCUCAUGGAUCUAGAGCGGCUAUCUCGGCUUAUGGUACCUCUCCAAGGGACACCCCAAGACCCAAUUAGACAAAGAUCUCAACAGGGAGGCUCCUGGCUCAAGGCACCUUGCUUGCCUCACUCUAGUCCCAGCCUGACCUCAGGAGAAGGAUUGAGGAACCUAGUCCUCCCGCAGGCAGGAGGGGUAGAGCACCUUGGAACCAAACUCAGGAGUUUCUGGCUGGCUCCAAACAGAAGAGCCACAGGCCAACCCGGGUCCCCUCUUCCAAAGCCCACAGGAGCUCUCUUCUGAAAGGAUCUCCAGCCUUGGGUUUACCUCAUCAGAGGCUUGGCCUGUGGGACACUGCGGGAGAGGAUUGGGAGAAGAAAGAGGGAGACGGGGUUUCACCAUGUUCGCCAGGAUGGACUCGAUUUCCUGACCUCGUGAUCCACCCACCUCGGCCUCCCAAAGUGAUGGGAUUGCAGGCGUGAGCCACCGUGCCCAGCCAAGGUAAGAUUCUUAUAAACCUUUUAUAACCCUUUACAAUUUUUUUUAGAACAGAACAAUGUUCUUAAAAAAUUCUGCUGUGCUUUUUUUUUUUUUUUUUUUUUUGAGAUGGAGUCUGGCUCUGUUGCCUGGCCUGGAGUGUAGUGGCACGAUCUCAGCUCACUGCAACCUCCGCCUCCAGGGUUCAAGCGAUUCUCCUGCCUCAGCCUCCCGAAUAGCUGGAAUUACAGGCUCCUGCCACUACACCCAGCUAAUUUUUUGUAUUUUUAGUAGAGAUGGGGUUUCACCAUGUUGGCCAUGCUGGUCUUGAACUGCUGACCUCAUGAUUUGCCUGCCUCAGCCUCCCAAAGUGCUGGGAUUACAGGCAUGAGCCACGGUGCCUGGCCUCUGCUUUUGAUGGCAGCAGGGGGCCGUCUAAAGUGGCUGCUGCCAUCACACUGGCUGCAGUAGGGAGGCAUGGGCGGUGGUGGCAGGAGCAGCUGUGGGAGCAGCAGUGGCAGUAGUGGGACUCCUGUGCCCCAUGUCCCCUGUGCCCUGCAUCCCUGAGGCAGUCAGCUGCACCACCCCCAUCCUCUCAUGGCUGGGCAGAACCUGCUCCCAGACCCAGAGUCUCCACCGUGGUCACAAUCUUGCACGCCUGGCCAAGGGCACAGUUGGGGACUCUUGGGGCCAGCCCCAAGAGCAUUUGGUUUGUUUGUGUGGGGUUGACUGGGGCUACAGCACCACCUGCACCUUGCCCAUGACUGCUGCAGGGAAAAUGCAGACAGGAGGCAGGCAGGCACUCCCUGGAGCCUGUCCCUGGGAGCCCCCUAGAGUCCACUGCCCUGGGAGCCACUGUGAUGAGGCUGGGCUGAGUCACCCACUGACGGGGGAGCAGUGUAAUUGAGCAUGGAGGGGUGGGCAGAAAGGGGCCCUGAUAUGGAGCUGGGCCCAGGCCAGUGCCACACUCCAAGGAGCCAGUGAGAGCCAGGAGCAGACAGGGGCCUGGCAUUCCUGGGCGUGGCUGUGGCCACCCAAGUCACAGCUGUGGACCCAGGCCUCCCUGUGCUUUUGGGGGCUGGGAGCAGGUAGAAGCCCCACCCUCCCAAGGAGCAGCUGCAGCCACUCAGCUGCAGCUGUGGACCCAGGCCUCUCUGCACUUUUGGAGCCCUAGGAAGGCCACCCCCUUCCCCCUGCAGGCUCUGAGGUGUCUUAUCUCACUGCCUGAUCUCUGUCAACUCCUGGCAACUGCUCCGAUCUCAGAGCAAGGUUGGGGCCAAGCCUGGGCACUGUCGCAACCCAGCCAUGUGUGUGUACACUCAGGGCAGUGUUAACACGCCAGCCCCCUGCCACCUUAGCCCCCUCCUGACUUUGGGCACCAGCAAGCACCAGAGGGAGGCCAAGGGGGUGCUGAGGGCAGCUUGGCACUGGCCUCCAGGUGCCCUUUGGUAUGAACAGCCUGGACAUCAUGAACAGAGGCAGGAGACAGGCUCCUGGGCAGAAAGGAAAAGUUCCCCAGUGAAGCCUCACCUUGAAGCUGGCGAGGGCCUGUAGCUGGGGACUACACUGCUGGUCCCACAAACCAGAGUGGGAACUUGUGAUGCUUUUUCUGGGGCUGCACAUGGUUUCCCAUGGACCAACUGACAUGCGCUUCCUCCCCUCUGAGGCCCAUAAAAGCCCUGGACUCAGCCAGACUUGAGAAGAUGAUGGGACAACCAGCUGCAGAGAGGAGCUACCCUCUCUGCUGAGAGCUGAAGAGACAACAUGAUGACCAGCUGCAGAGAGGAGCUACCGUCUCUCCUGAGAGCUGAACACUCAUUGGGACACCCUGGCUACAGAAAGGAGCUACCUAUUUCAGGUCUCCUCUAAGCUGUUCUGUCACUCAAUAAAGCUUCUCUUCAUCUUGCUCACCCUUCGCUUGUCUGCAUACCUCAUUCUUCCUGGAUGCAGGACAAGAACUUGGGACCUGCCAAA